AAACUCGAGCUAGUACCGCAUACGUCCUACGGGAGAAAGUGGGGGAUCUUCGGACCUCACGCUAUCAGAUGAGCCUAGGUCGGAUUAGCUAGUUGGUGAGGUAAAGGCUCACCAAGGCGACGAUCCGUAACUGGUCUGAGAGGAUGAUCAGUCACACUGGAACUGAGACACGGUCCAGACUCCUACGGGAGGCAGCAGUGGGGAAUAUUGGACAAUGGGCGAAAGCCUGAUCCAGCCAUGCCGCGUGUGUGAAGAAGGUCUUCGGAUUGUAAAGCACUUUAAGUUGGGAGGAAGGGCAGUAAGUUAAUACCUUGCUGUUUUGACGUUACCAACAGAAUAAGCACCGGCUAACUUCGUGCCAGCAGCCGCGGUAAUACGAAGGGUGCAAGCGUUAAUCGGAAUUACUGGGCGUAAAGCGCGCGUAGGUGGUUCAGCAAGUUGGAGGUGAAAUCCCCGGGCUCAACCUGGGAACUGCCUCCAAAACUACUGGGCUAGAGUAUGGUAUAGGGUGGUGGAAUUUCCUGUGUAGCGGUGAAAUGCGUAGAUAUAGGAAGGAACACCAGUGGCGAAGGCGACCACCUGGACUAAUACUGACACUGAGGUGCGACAGCGUGGGGAGCAGACAGGAUAAGAUACCCUGGUAGUCCACGCGGUAGACGAUGUCGACUAGACGUUGGGAUCCUUGAGAGCAUAUUUGCGCAGCUAACGCGAUAAGUCAACCGCCUAGUGAGUACGGCCGCAAGGUU
This 746-nucleotide ribosomal RNA is filed under the name uncultured Pseudomonas sp. RNAcentral describes it as "bacterial SSU rRNA". It matches the Rfam family "Bacterial small subunit ribosomal RNA", at positions 154 to 895 of the family's 1533-position model. The record is from RNAcentral. Lineage: Bacteria; Pseudomonadati; Pseudomonadota; Gammaproteobacteria; Pseudomonadales; Pseudomonadaceae.